GGAUUAGAUACCCUGGUAGUCCACGCCGUAAACGAUGUGUGCUAGACGUCGGGUGUUCGGCAUUCGGUGUCGCAGCUAACGCAUUAAGCACACCGCCUGGGGAGUACGGCCGCAAGGUUAAAACUCAAAGGAAUUGACGGGGGCCCGCACAAGCGGUGGAGCAUGUGGUUUAAUUCGACGCAACGCGCAGAACCUUACCAGCCCUUGACAUCCCGGUCGCGGGGAGUGGAGACACACCCUUUCAGUUCGGCUGGACCGGAGACAGGUGCUGCAUGGCUGUCGUCAGCUCGUGCCG
RNAcentral lists this ribosomal RNA (295 nucleotides) under uncultured bacterium. RNAcentral describes it as "partial 16S ribosomal RNA". It matches the Rfam family "Bacterial small subunit ribosomal RNA", at positions 775 to 1067 of the family's 1533-position model. The record is from RNAcentral.